This 253-nucleotide ribosomal RNA is filed under the name uncultured bacterium. Its description in RNAcentral is "partial 16S ribosomal RNA". It matches the Rfam family "Bacterial small subunit ribosomal RNA", at positions 524 to 776 of the family's 1533-position model. The record is from RNAcentral.
UACGAAGGGGGCUAGCGUUGCUCGGAAUCACUGGGCGUAAAGGGUGCGUAGGCGGGUCUUUAAGUCAGGGGUGAAAUCCUGGAGCUCAACUCCAGAACUGCCUUUGAUACUGAAGAUCUUGAGUCCGGGAGAGGUGAGUGGAACUGCGAGUGUAGAGGUGAAAUUCGUAGAUAUUCGCAAGAACACCAGUGGCGAAGGCGGCUCACUGGCCCGGUACUGGCGCUGAGGUGCGAAAGCGUGGGGAGCAAACAGG